Molecule: ribosomal RNA, 431 nt
Filed under: uncultured eubacterium WJGRT-41
Lineage: Bacteria
Description: bacterial SSU rRNA
Rfam family: Bacterial small subunit ribosomal RNA
Source: RNAcentral
UGCUAACACAUGCAAGUCGAACGAAGCAGCAAUGCUUAGUGGCAGACGGGUGAGUAACGCGUAGAUAAUGUGCCCUCUUGCGGGGGAUACCGUUUCGAAAGGAACGUUAAUACCGCAUAAAGUCCUUGGGAGGCAUCUCUUAGGGACCAAACUUCCGGGGCGGGAGGAGCAAUCUGCGUACUAUCAGCUAGUUGGUGAGGUAAUGGCUCACCAAGGCUACGACGGUUAACUGGUCUGAGAGGAUGAUCAGUCACACUGGAACUGAGACACGGUCCAGACUCCUACGGGAGGCAGCAGUGAGGAAUAUUGCACAAUGGGCGAAAGCCUGAUGCAGCGACGCCGCGUGGAGGAUGAAGGAUUUCGGUCUGUAAACUCCUGUCAGUAGGGAAGAGAAUGGACGGUACCUACUGAGGAAGCUUCGGCUAACUACG